CGUUGCGAAAGCCACAACUCUGUUGUUCGUCUGACUUGUAUGUAUCUUAAUUUUUCUCUGUUUGUUUAAGGUGUAUAUCUGCAGUCGCCUUAUUGUGUCCGUUUUUCAAUUAAUAAAAAAACAAAGAGCUUUACUGUAUAUCCUUGGAUCUAUGCAAUGAUGAGUUUAAUGAUAUGGUGGUUAUUGUGGCUGUUAUUUGGUCAAGGAUUCACAAUGAAAAUGGGUUGGAAUGAAGAGCUUGAGUUUUGUGAGGAAGAAUGGAAGAAAUUUGUGGCGGACAAAAUUGAAAUCGAUUCGAAAUGCAACAAUACUCGUACACGUUGUUGUGUUGAGGAGAAGAAAUAUCUUUUGGAGCGAUUUAAAAUGUUUAGUGAAAUAUGUCCUCUUGAAGGGACAUGUGGAUGCAGCCCGAUGAUUUUGAACCUUACUGUUUUUCACACGUCGAUUAUCGUCAUUAUCGUAUAUGAAAAGCAAUAUCCGCAAAAUGGAAAGAACCAGAAAACUUAACGUGUUCACAUAAGUACAUAAAAGAAAGAAUAGAAGGGUGUCCUCUACCUUACCUUGCCAUCGGACAACACAAAAUCCCUUACGUGUAUGUUUUAUACGGUGGAAAAAAUCACACCUGUUAUGUUGUCAUCAACGUGAGCCUAAAACGACAAGAUACGAAUGGAUUUU
Long non-coding RNA from Xenia sp. Carnegie-2017, 675 nucleotides. RefSeq lists it as uncharacterized. Lineage: Eukaryota; Metazoa; Cnidaria; Anthozoa; Malacalcyonacea; Xeniidae. The transcript is spliced from 4 exons. The record is from RefSeq and is a predicted model, not a curated record.